GACUGGAUGUUAACUUGGGUGAUUUGCGCCCCACCCUGACGGUGCUGCCCCCCUCCAGUGAAGAGCUGGAGCAGGGGAAGGCCACGCUCAUGUGCCUGGCCAACAAGGGCUUCCCCUCAGACUGGAGUCUGGCCUGGAAGGUGGACGGCAGCAGCAGCAGCAGCAGCUGGGAGGAGAGCAGGAGCCCCGGGGUGCUGGAGAAGGACGGCCACUACAGCUGGAGCAGCACCCUGAGGCUCCCUGCAGACCAGUGGGGGAAGGUGGGCUCUGUGACCUGUGAGGCCACCCAGGGCUCCCAGACUCCACUCUCAGAGACACUGAGGAGAGACCAGUGUUCCCAGUCCUGAGCUGACUCACUGGCAGGGACUCUGCUACUGGUUUUACUCUGACACUGCUCUCACUCUGCUCUCUGCAACUAGCUCUGGCUUUUAUUUCACCUGUUUCAACAGACAUAUUUACCAGCUUGUUGUAAUGUUUCAAUAUUAUUUCAGUGUUUCCAGAUAAUAAAGACGUAUUCAUCA
This is a non-coding RNA of Sander lucioperca (pikeperch), 521 nucleotides long. The record is from the annotation of a RefSeq genome assembly. Lineage: Eukaryota; Metazoa; Chordata; Actinopteri; Perciformes; Percidae.